Long non-coding RNA from Octopus sinensis (East Asian common octopus), 279 nucleotides. RefSeq lists it as uncharacterized. NCBI's taxonomy places the organism in Eukaryota, Metazoa, Mollusca, Cephalopoda, Octopoda, Octopodidae. The transcript is spliced from 3 exons. The record is from RefSeq and is a predicted model, not a curated record.
CACACACACACACACACAACACACACACACACAACACACAUAUAAUGUAAGAAAUAUAAACUCAGAUAAAUAUGUGGCCAUAUUGCAGAAAGGGCCCCUUCCAAUCUUCUCCGGUGGUGAAAUGACAAAAGAAGACUCUUUAUUUAUGGAAGAUGGGGCUCCUUAUCACAUGGCUAAAAUGACCCAAGAUUUGUUGAAUGAGAAUAGCAUUAAAAAGCCUUCAUGACCAAGCCAGUUGCCAGAUAUGAACCCUAUUGAACACCUCUGGGGCGUAAUGAA